RNAcentral lists this ribosomal RNA (513 nucleotides) under uncultured bacterium. RNAcentral's name for it is "partial 16S ribosomal RNA". It matches the Rfam family "Bacterial small subunit ribosomal RNA", at positions 28 to 523 of the family's 1533-position model. The record is from RNAcentral.
GACGAACGCUGGCGGCAUGCCUAAUACAUGCAAGUCGAGCGAACAGAUGAAGUGCUUGCACUUCUGACGUUAGCGGCGAACGGGUGAGUAACACGUAAGGAAUCUACCUAUAAGCGGGGGAUAACAUUCGGAAACGGGUGCUAAUACCGCAUAAUAUCUUCUUCCGCAUGGAAGAAGAUUGAAAGACGGCUCUGCUGUCACUUAUGGAUGACCUUGCGGUGCAUUAGUUAGUUGGUGGGGUAAUGGCCUACCAAGACGAUGAUGCAUAGCCGACCUGGGAGGGUGAGCGGACACAUGGGGACUGAGACACGGCCCAAACUCCUACGGGAGGCAGCAGUAGGGAAUCUUCCGCAAUGGGCGAAAGCCUGACGGAGCAAUGCCGCGUGAGUGAAGAAGGCCUUCGGGUCGUAAAACUCUGUUAUAAGAGAAGAACAAACUGUAGAGUAACUGCUACAGUCUUGACGGUAUCUUAUCAGAAAGCCACGGCUAACUACGUGCCAGCAGCCGCCGUAA